Molecule: ribosomal RNA, 395 nt
Filed under: uncultured bacterium
Lineage: Bacteria
Description: bacterial SSU rRNA
Rfam family: Bacterial small subunit ribosomal RNA
Source: RNAcentral
UGAGUAACGCGUGGGAAACCUGCCCUAGUACUGGGGGAUAGCAGUUGGAAACGACUGAUAAUACCGCAUAAGCGCACAGCUUCGCAUGAAGCAGUGUGAAAAACUCCGGUGGUAUAGGAUGGUCCCGCGGUCUGAUUAGCUAGUUGGUGAGGUAACGGCCCACCAAGGCGACGAUCAGUAGCCGGCCUGAGAGGGUGUACGGCCACAUUGGGACUGAGACACGGCCCAAACUCCUACGGGAGGCAGCAGUGGGGAAUAUUGGACAAUGGGGGAAACCCUGAUCCAGCGACGCCGCGUGAACGAUGAAGUAUUUCGGUAUGUAAAGUUCUAUCAGCAGGGAAGAUAAUGACGGUACCUGACUAAGAAGCACCGGCUAAAUACGUGCCAGCCGCAGC